RNAcentral lists this ribosomal RNA (681 nucleotides) under uncultured bacterium. RNAcentral's name for it is "bacterial SSU rRNA". It matches the Rfam family "Bacterial small subunit ribosomal RNA", at positions 56 to 714 of the family's 1533-position model. The record is from RNAcentral.
UGCAGUCGAACGGAAACAGGACGCUGUGAUCCCUUCGGGGUGAACUUGUCGCUGUCGAGUGGCGGACGGGUGAGUAAUGCAUAGGAAUCUGCCCAGUAGGGGGGGACAACCUGGGGAAACUCAGGCUAAUACCGCAUACGACCUACGGGUGAAAGCGGGGGCUCUUUGGACCUCGCGCUAUUGGAUGAGCCUAUGUCUGAUUAGUUUGUUGGUGGGGUAACGGCCUACCAAGGCGACGAUCAGUAGCUGGUCUGAGAGGACGAUCAGCCACACUGGGACUGAGACACGGCCCAGACUCCUACGGGAGGCAGCAGUGGGGAAUAUUGGACAAUGGGCGCAAGCCUGAUCCAGCAAUGCCGCGUGUGUGAAGAAGGCCUGCGGGUUGUAAAGCACUUUCAGUAGAGAAGAAAAGCCUGGGGUUAAUACCCCCAAGUCUUGACGUAACCUACAGAAGAAGCACCGGCUAACUCCGUGCCAGCAGCCGCGGUAAUACGGAGGGUGCGAGCGUUAAUCGGAAUUACUGGGCGUAAAGCGCGCGUAGGCGGCCAAGUCAGUCGGAUGUGAAAGCCCCGGGCUCAACCUGGGAAUUGCAUUCGAUACUGCUUGGCUAGAGUAUGGGAGAGGGAAGCGGAAUUUCCGAUGUAGCGGUGAAAUGCGUAGAUAUCGGAAGGAACAUCAGUG